Molecule: ribosomal RNA, 472 nt
Filed under: uncultured bacterium
Lineage: Bacteria
Description: partial 16S ribosomal RNA
Rfam family: Bacterial small subunit ribosomal RNA
Source: RNAcentral
GACGAACGCUGGCGGCGUGCUUAACACAUGCAAGUCGAACGAUGAACCCGGAGCUUGCUCUGGGGGAUUAGUGGCGAACGGGUGAGUAACACGUGAGUAACCUGCCCUGGACUCUGGGAUAAGCGUUGGAAACGACGUCUAAUACCGGAUAGGACCUUGGAUCGCAUGAUCUGGGGUGGAAAGUUUUUUCGGUCUGGGAUGGACUCGCGGCCUAUCAGCUUGUUGGUGAGGUAAUGGCUCACCAAGGCGUCGACGGGUAGCCGGCCUGAGAGGGUGACCGGACACACUGGGACUGAGACACGGCCCAGACUCCUACGGGAGGCAGCAGUGGGGAAUAUUGCACAAUGGGCGAAAGCCUGAUGCAGCAACGCCGCGUGCGGGAUGACGGCCGUCGGGUUGUAAACCGCUUUUAGUAGGGAAGAAGGGCUUCGGCUUGACGGUACCUGCAGAAAAAGGACCGGCUAACUACGUG